Molecule: ribosomal RNA, 467 nt
Filed under: uncultured bacterium
Lineage: Bacteria
Description: partial 16S ribosomal RNA
Rfam family: Bacterial small subunit ribosomal RNA
Source: RNAcentral
GACGAACGCUGGCGGCGUGCUUAACACAUGCAAGUCGAACGGAAAGGCCUCUUUCGGGGGGUACUCGAGUGGCGAACGGGUGAGUAACACGUGAGUAACCUGCCCUUGACUUUGGGAUAACUUCAGGAAACUGGGGCUAAUACCGGAUAGGAGCUCCUGCUGCAUGGUGGGGGUUGGAAAGUUUCGGCGGUUGGGGAUGGACUCGCGGCUUAUCAGCUUGUUGGUGGGGUAGUGGCUUACCAAGGCUUUGACGGGUAGCCGGCCUGAGAGGGUGACCGGCCACAUUGGGACUGAGAUACGGCCCAGACUCCUACGGGUGGCAGCAGUGGGGAAUAUUGCACAAUGGGUGGAAGCCUGAUGCAGCAACGCCGUGUGCGGGAUGACGGCCUUCGGGUUGUAAACCGCUUUCGCUCAUGACGAAGCUUUGUGUGACGGUAGUGGGUAAAGAAGCACCGGCUAACUACGUG